RNAcentral lists this long non-coding RNA (215 nucleotides) under Homo sapiens (human). Its description in RNAcentral is "non-protein coding lnc-SDC1-1:1". Lineage: Eukaryota; Metazoa; Chordata; Mammalia; Primates; Hominidae. The record is from RNAcentral.
CAGGUGUGGCAACGUCCGCGAAUCUGGAGACAGAUUUGGCUCCGAAUGAGCUGUGAGUUCUCCACCACCACCACCAUGCAGGCUCUGGCGCUUGAGACCCCGGAUGCUCCCAGGGAGGGGCCCAGGGGCUGGUGUGGGUAUGGGCACAUGCCUGUGCUUCCCCGAGCAGCCAGGGCCAGAGACCGGGCUCCACAAGGCUCAGAGGGUUCAUCUGC